GACAGAGGGGGCAAGCGUUGUUCGGAAUUACUGGGCGUAAAGGGCGCGUAGGCGGCCUUCUAAGUCGAACGUGAAAUCCCUGGGCUCAACCCAGGAACUGCGUCCGAUACUGGAAGGCUUGAAUCCGGGAGAGGGAUGCGGAAUUCCAGGUGUAGCGGUGAAAUGCGUAGAUAUCUGGAGGAACACCGGUGGCGAAGGCGGCAUCCUGGACCGGUAUUGACGCUGAGGCGCGAAAGCCAGGGGAGCAAACGGG
RNAcentral lists this ribosomal RNA (253 nucleotides) under uncultured bacterium. Its description in RNAcentral is "partial 16S ribosomal RNA". It matches the Rfam family "Bacterial small subunit ribosomal RNA", at positions 524 to 776 of the family's 1533-position model. The record is from RNAcentral.